This 427-nucleotide ribosomal RNA is filed under the name uncultured prokaryote. RNAcentral's name for it is "bacterial SSU rRNA". It matches the Rfam family "Bacterial small subunit ribosomal RNA", at positions 355 to 774 of the family's 1533-position model. The record is from RNAcentral.
UAGGGAAUCUUCGGCAAUGGGCGAAAGCCUGACCGAGCAACGCCGCGUGAAUGAUGAAGGCCUUCGGGUUGUAAAAUUCUGUUAUAAGGGAAGAAUGGCUCUAGUAGGAAAUGGCUAGAGUGUGACGGUACCUUAUGAGAAAGCCACGGCUAACUACGUGCCAGCAGCCGCGGUAAUACGUAGGUGGCGAGCGUUAUCCGGAAUUAUUGGGCGUAAAGGGUGCGUAGGCGGUUCGGCCAGUCUGAUGUGAAAGCCCAUAGCUCAACUAUGGAUCCGCAUUGGAAACGACCGAGCUCGAGAGCGGAAGAGGCAGGUGGAAUUCCUGGUGUAGCGGUGGAAUGCGUAGAUAUCAGGAAGAACACUCGUGGCGAAGGCGGCCUGCUGGUCCGUUUCUGACGCUGAGGCACGAAAGCCAGGGGAGCGAACG